UCGAGGAUCUUCGGCAAUGGGCGCAAGCCUGACCGAGCGACGCCGCGUGUGCGAUGAAGGCCUUCGGGUUGUAAAGCACUGUCGAGGGGGAUAAAGCCGCAAGGUUGAUAGAUCCCUGGAGGAAGCACGGGCUAAGUUCGUGCCAGCAGCCGCGGUAAGACGAACCGUGCGAACGUUGUUCGGAAUCAUUGGGCUUAAAGGGCGCGUAGGCGGGGUCGUCAGUCUGUGGUGAAAUCCUCUGGCUCAACCAGAGAACUGCCGUGGAUACUGCGACUCUCGAGGGGUGUAGGGGCAUGUGGAACUCAGGGUGGAGCGGUGAAAUGCGUAGAUAUCCUGAGGAACGCCGGUGGCGAAAGCGGCGUGCUGGACACCUUCUGACGCUGAGGCGCGAAAGCCAGGGGAGCAAACG
RNAcentral lists this ribosomal RNA (409 nucleotides) under uncultured Planctomycetaceae bacterium. RNAcentral's name for it is "partial 16S ribosomal RNA". It matches the Rfam family "Bacterial small subunit ribosomal RNA", at positions 355 to 774 of the family's 1533-position model. Lineage: Bacteria; Pseudomonadati; Planctomycetota; Planctomycetia; Planctomycetales; Planctomycetaceae. The record is from RNAcentral.